RNAcentral lists this unclassified non-coding RNA (278 nucleotides) under Hevea brasiliensis (rubber tree). The record is from RNAcentral. Lineage: Eukaryota; Viridiplantae; Streptophyta; Magnoliopsida; Malpighiales; Euphorbiaceae.
UGGACAUGUUUAUCACCAUCAUCACUAUAAUCCUCAUCACUGUCCACCUCUGGUGGAUCAUCUACUUCUUCAUCACUGCCAUGCACUGAAUGUUCCUCCUUGAGCUCCUUCGCAGGUCCAUCAGACAUCCGAGGAGAGCUACAACAAGAAGAGUGGUAUCUACUUCCAGUAUCAGUCCAAUCAGCCCUCGACUCAUCAACACUUCCAGCAUGACUAGUACCACCAUCACUGGGCCAAGCACUGAUUCCAAAGUGGCCAAACUGAAGAUUAACUGGUUC